Molecule: long non-coding RNA, 388 nt
Filed under: Ananas comosus (pineapple)
Lineage: Eukaryota; Viridiplantae; Streptophyta; Magnoliopsida; Poales; Bromeliaceae
Description: long non-coding RNA (ACOM_LNC036478)
Source: RNAcentral
UUGUAAAGUCCUCGGUGCAGCUUCGUACGCCGUCUCAACGUGCUUCUUCCCCUCCUGCAGCUCCACCUCCUGCUACUGCUACUUCUUCCCGUCCUUCAAUAGAUAUUUCUGAGGAAGAUAUUUCCGUUUCAUCGGUUUAUCGUGAGCAGCAACGUCUAUCAGAGGAGCUUCAGAAGUUGUCUGCAGAACAAGCUGUGAUUCGUAAGGAUGUGAGCAAGAUGAAGCGCUUGUUGAAUAUGAUUUUUGACAAAUUAGGAUGUUGUCGGGCGGAUUUACCUCCAGGAGAUGAUUCUGACUAGGAUUUACCGGGCUUCUCGUUUUGUCGUUUUGGCGCUUUCUGACAAAAAGGGGGAGAUGAUGGGAUGGUCUCUUAAUGAUGAUGAUGAUG